RNAcentral lists this ribosomal RNA (127 nucleotides) under uncultured Cenococcum. RNAcentral describes it as "partial 5.8S ribosomal RNA". It matches the Rfam family "5.8S ribosomal RNA", at positions 1 to 127 of the family's 154-position model. Rfam says of the family: 5.8S ribosomal RNA (5.8S rRNA) is a component of the large subunit of the eukaryotic ribosome. It is transcribed by RNA polymerase I as part of the 45S precursor that also contains 18S and 28S rRNA. The record is from RNAcentral. Lineage: Eukaryota; Fungi; Ascomycota; Dothideomycetes; Gloniales; Gloniaceae.
AAACUUUCAACAACGGAUCUCUUGGUUCUGGCAUCGAUGAAGAACGCAGCGAAAUGCGAUAAGUAGUGUGAAUUGCAGAAUUCAGUGAAUCAUCGAAUCUUUGAACGCCAUUGCGCCCUUGUAUCCG